This is a long non-coding RNA of Drosophila navojoa, 106 nucleotides long. The record is from RefSeq and is a predicted model, not a curated record. NCBI's taxonomy places the organism in Eukaryota, Metazoa, Arthropoda, Insecta, Diptera, Drosophilidae.
GUAAUAAAAUUAUAAUUUUUUAUAGAUAGAAACCAACCUGGCUAACGCCGGUUUGAUCUCAGAUCAUGUAAGAAUUUAAAAGUCGAACAGACUGAAAAUUUGAACG